AAGCGGAACGCGGUUAGGAGAGAGAGCCCCGCGGGAGGAGAGUCGCCCGGCCCGCCAGGCUGCCGUGCGCGCCGCACGAGGCCGCGCCGCACGAGGCCGCGCAGACCCUCGGGAGCGUGCUAAUGGGUCACGCCACGACUCUCGGCCGAGGGGCGACCUGUCGACAGCCACCCUGUUAGUGCGAGCGCCUGGAGACCGGCCGGCCGCUCUGGCCGGCCUAGCCUUGGUGAGGAUGUGGCAAGACCCAGCAGCGUGGCUGAACUUAUGUCAGAGGAAGUGGCUUUCUCAUUGCAGCAAAAAUUCCCGUACCAGUGUCAGUGCUAGGGUAAUGUAAAACUUCAAUUUUUAUUCUGCUCCCUGCUCCCAGUUUGCAAUGAGCCAUAUACAUCUUCAACACGGUUAUCCUGAAUUCUAAAUACAAAUUUUAAAACAUACUUAUUUAAACCUUCUGUGUGUGCAAGUCAACUCUGCCCCCCAGGGAGGUGGGAGGUUUAGAUUUAUUUCCUUUCUAAGUGCCAAGCACGAGAUAAGAUACCUGUUCUCUUGGAGCUUUCCUUUCAGUGAAGAGCGACAAAUGGCAGCAAGCACAUGAUUAAACAAGAAUAUAUUAAAGAGCAUUAAGUCCUAUUCAGAGAACUAAAAUAAGUUUAUGUGCUAGAGCAGCGGUCUCCAACCUUUUUGGCACGUGGGACUGGUUUCAUGGAAGAUAAUUUUUCCACAGACUGGUGGGUGUGAGCGACGGGGAGCGAUGGGGAGCGGACCGGGUGUAGACACAGAUGAAGCUUGGCUCCCUCCAGGCCGCUCACCUCCUGCUGUCCGGGUGUUGGUAGGAGGGGAGGGCGCUCUUCGUCCCCCCUUCCUAAGUGUCAUGGUUUCACGGAAGACAAUUUUCCCGUGGAUUGGAGGAGGGGGUGGUGCGUCUGAGCUUUGUGGCCCAGUCCCUAAUAGGCUGCUGACAGGGGUUAGGGACCGCAGUGCUGGAGGGUAGCUGGAGGGAUCUUUUGGAUUGGGUGGGGUGGUCUGGUCUGGGAAAGCCUCCAGGGUAAUGUAGAUAAACUAUUGAGCACAUGGUAGGUGCUCUGGAAAUGGUAGCUACUAUUUGGAUGAGGGCAAUGGUUCAUGCAAUAACUUUUACUUUCCCUACUACCCAGGCCUGGUCAUACAAUGGAGAGAUACAGCCCCUCCUCUUACCAGGAAGGCAGAUUUACAUGCAAUUGUGAUAAACUGUAGGGUAAAGGUUGUUGAGGGAAAGCACAAAUGGUUUGAGUUCAGAUAUGGGGAAAAUUAUCUGGAUAGGGUUGGCAGGCUUAUGGGAGGUGCAUGGCAGUGUUGAGCAGUGACUCGCAUGCUAUGAUUUGAGUUGUCAUCAUAGUGAUGUGUAUGUGUGUGCAUGUUAGUCAUAAUUACCCCGUUCCCCACUGAACAAGGACUUGUGGUAAGAUUACUGGUAAAAUUUCUGAUACCAGAAAAAGAUGCUUUCGUGCAGCUGUGGGGUUUGGAGAGACCCUUGAAGUCCUUAUAGUUACCUCCUGAGGGUCAGGAGGGAAAGGAUUGCUGGGAUUUGCAGAGGCCAGUGACUUUGGGCUGAUUCACAUUGUCUCUCCUGUCCUCCCUGCUUGGAACAGAUUGAAAGAAAAAGUGAAGGAAUUGGCAAUGGCCAUUUGGAAGAACUACAGUGUAUUAUGAUGCCUGUCUCUCUUACCAGAUGGUGAACUCCUAAAGCCUUGAUUCCUAAACUGGAGCCAGAAACUGUGGAUCAAAGGUGGAAACAACCACUGAAAACAAGAUCACAGAUGAGAGCUAUGGACAGCUCAAGUUCUUUCAUAGUAAGUGUUUAGUGAAGACAUAGUUUUAGGUUACAGGGGCCCAUGCUCACUCUCUGCAGAGUGAGUAGUGACUCCGUAGAAGAGGGGACCUGGGCUCAAUGCCAGUGUUAUACUCAGACCUGCUGCCACUUCUAGGGCACUGGAACAUGCUGAAAUUUGACCCUGGGUAUGGGUCUAGUGGCAAUAAGAAGUAUCUGGGGUAGUUUUUGAGGAGAGUGGGCAUCUUCUCUUUUGUGAGGCAUUUGUUCCAGGUGAGGUAGUUACAAGGUUUUGGGGGAGGGGGAAGAAGACUUCUCAGACACAGAUACUUUUUUUCUAGAAGUUUACUAUCUUUAGAUUUUUUUUUUGUUUAAAUCUGUAAUUCAUUUGAGUUAAUUUUGUAUAAGGUGUGAAGUAUAGGUCAGGUUUAUCUUUUGUAUCUAUCUAUCUAUCUGUGUAAAUAUGCAUGCAUUUAUUUGCAUCUGAAUGUCCAAAUGUGCCAGCACCGUUUGUUAAAAAUACCAUAAUUUUUCCAUUGAAUUCCUUUUGUACCUUUGUAGAAAAUCAAUUGACCAUAAAUAGAAGAGUUUAUUUCUGGACUUUCAAUUCUGUUUCAUUGAUGUAUAUUUCUGUUUACCACACUGUCUUGACUACUAUAGCAUCUUGAAAUUAGGUAGUGUGAGACUUCUAUUGUUGGGUUUUUUUUCUUUUCUUUCAGCUAUUCUGGUUCCUUUGGCACUGCAUAUAAUAUUUUAAGUCAGCUUGUCUGAUCCAUAAAAAAAUACUGCUGGAAUUUUGAUUGUAUUGACUCUAUAGAUUCAUUUGGGGAGAACUGACAUUUUAACAAUACAAUAUCUUCAAAUCCAUGAAUGCUGUAUGUUUCUACAUGUAUUUAGCUCUUCUUUGAUUUCUUUCAUCAAUCAUUUAUAUUAAGCAAACAGAUUAUGCAUAUAUUUUAUUAAGUUUAUACCUAAAUACCUCUCUUAUUUUUGGUGCUAUUACAAAUGGUAUAUCUAUAUUUUUUAUUUCAAAUUUCAACUGUCCAUUGCUGGGGGAAUAUGAUUGACUUUUCUAUGUUGGCUUGUAUGUAUCCUGCCACCUUAGUUCACUUAGUUUUAGGAGCUUUUUGCAGAUUCUUUGAUGUUUUCUACAUAGAUAAUCAUGUUAUCUAUGGAUAAAGAUAUUUUUGUUUUUUCCCUUUCAAUAUACAUGCCCUUUACUUCUUUUUAAUUGCCAUAUUACACUGACUAGGACUUUCAGUUCAUUGUUAAAUAGGAAUGGUAAGAGAAGGCAACCUUCUCUUGUUCCCAGUCUUGUGGGAACACACGUAGGCACAAACACACAUCCUUGUACACCCAUGCAUAAGAAGUAAAUUUUAUUUUAGAGUGAAAAUGAAAACUAAAAGUUCUCAAAACAAGUAAUAACAAUUCAUUUUUGGACUUAAUUUUAUAGCCUUUUAAUGGCAAGGAGGGGGAGUAUAAGGAAGGGGAGAAAAUGAGACUGAGGUGAAGGAAGCAGGUGGGGAGGAAAAAUCUGGAGAGGCUGGGUAGGAACAAACGGUGGACAGUGGAAUGACGGGUGAGGAGCCCACCGGGCUUCAGAGUGAGUGUGGCAGUUGGAGUGAAACUCCUCUGGUUUCUCUUGGGCAAGGGCACGGGAGUAGGUUACCCCAGCUUUUACUUUUAUUUUCCAUCUUUAUUGUUUAAUUUUGACAGUCAGGAUAUUUUCUCGUGGGAUUUUGAACAUCGUCACCUUGUGAUGAAAUUACUUAGAAUUGGUGAUUUAGUAAUCAAAUAAAAUUAGUAAUUCUGUAAUUAGUAUUAGAUUACAUAAAUACAUAUAGCCUGUAUUUUGCUUUGAUGGAUUUUGAACCUGACUGAUGGCAUUAUUUUUAGGAGAGAAUGCUUCAUUUCACAAUGUCUAGAGAUUGCAUCCAAAGACAAUGUUUAUUUAAAAAUAAAUCUAUUUUUAGUCUCUUGAGGAACACACAAUGCAAGCAAAUAAAUUAAGAAAAGGUACUUUAACUGGAGGCUUCACUAGUUUAUUUAACUGCUUUGAACAAUGUGCUUGGUUCUCACUUGAGUAAGAAAGGGAAUGAGGUCCUGUUGUCCACUAGGAUGGAAAUUAUAUUCUCAUUUGAAGUUUCUGCUGUCGGACAAUGCAGUCUCCUAUGGUGUGGAAGAACAGCAUCAUGUUCAAGCAAGGUGGAAUUAGAAUGCACAGAGCUAUGUUUCUUGUCCAGGAAGAGGGAAGGUUUGAUUAAUUGUUUGCAGGCUACGCAUUUGGUGGUGGCAACAGAAAAAGGGUUGUGGUCACAAGGAAACCUGUGGAGUCAUUCAGCAGCUUUCCUAGUUGACUUAGACAGCCUGUAUCCCUUGUAUCACCAACUGGCACCUACAGCAAUGCUUGGUGGCAUUUAACUUCUCAUCACAAACAACUUUAUUCUUUUCUUCUUUCCUUCUACGGUUCCUUCCUUUCUGACUUCUCUGAGUGAUGGUAAUAUUGUGGCCACAGGCUGUCUCUCAGGGCAUUUAAGAGUGAUGCCCACGGCAGCAUCCACGCCUUGCGGACACAGGGCAUGGAAGGGUCAGUAUAAUGGAGGCGCCAGCCCCUGUUAGCGCCUGCUACAGAAAGUCACGGCCAGGCUGCCAGUGUGGUAUCACAAGGAAGGUAGCUGUGCUCAGCAGUGGCAGAGUCUAAUUUUAGGGUGUUAGGGGAUUCUGGAGAAGAGCAGUAUUGUGUGCUGCUGAGUCAUUAGGAAUUAAACAUGGUAGGUAGAAAAUGGCAGAACAGAGGAAAGAAAUAAGAGAAUGCAAGACUGAUCAUGGAAUAAUUGAAGCAAGAAGGAAUUUUGCUGGCUGUAACGAUAUAAGAUGUCUGCAUGUACAUCAUGUUGAUUAGGAAAGAGGCUCUUUGUUCUGAAAUGUCUUCAUCAGUGAAAGUCAAGGAGAUGAGCUUGGUGGGGACACAGUGAACCGACUACUCCCCCGCAUCGACUCAGUCCUGGAUCUGCAGAACUCAGCUCCACCCCCACUAACAGCUCCCAGCUGUCAGCCUGUGGAGCCCUCCUCUAUCUCUGCGUGCGUGAGUGUAGAGCUCAUAAUACGCUCAGCUUGUACUCAUGCGGUGGGGCAGUCUCAAAUUGUUUUAUGGAUACAGUUUAGGUCAGAGAUUGUGCUUUCUAUUUCUCUUAAACCCUGAUUUAUUUAUCACAUAGGAGGUGCAUGAAAAUACAUGCUAAAUGAAAAUAGUGCAAAGAGCUCUGAACUUGGAAGCAGAUGACCUGGACUUUGCUUCGGUUUUGCGCUUGUUACACAUGAGCUGGGAGAAGACACUGACCUUUCACCUCUCUCAUUUCUACACAGAGAAUAGUGAUCUCUGCUAUGCCUACUUCGUCAGAAAACUGAAGAUCAGACUAUGGAAAGAUGAGAAAAAGCUUUUGCUGCUGCCCAAGACCAACAAGACUAUUCUGACACCCAAUCCCCAUCAUCCUUGCCUCCGUUCUCUGAUAACAUGGGAAAUUAUGAACCCCAGCACCUGGGACCCUGAGGAAUUUACCAGGAGUAAAUGGCUUUCAUGAAAAAAAAAAAGCAUAAGUUUCUCUGUGCUGGCAGGUGAUUUUGUUUUUAAUUACAUUUCCCCAGUGGAAGGUGCUGCCAUGCCAGGAGCAUCAGCACUGCUGAACCUUAGGGAGAUUGUAAAUUCCAGGAAUGUGUUCCCGCUACAUGUAAGGUGUUAUGCAACCUCAGCUUCAAGUUGUGUGAUCCUCGCUGGCUGGUACUGUGGUCUAACAUUCCACAGUGGGGUGUGCAGGUGUUUUCUCUACAACCUGCUCCUUUCUGAAGACGUGUGUCUCUUUUCUGGAUGGAAUACAUAACCCCAAUGAUGCUUAAGCAGCUGUUUCACUGAAGAGCUCGUGUGAGUGCCCCGAAGCCAUGCAGGGCUGGGGGUGGGGGUGAGAGAAUCAUCAGCAGUUCUGUGAAUGUUAUAAUGUCUCCAGCCUGCAAGUGACAAAACUGAGGCCUAGAGAAGCUAAGCAGCUUGUUCAGAGGCACAAGCUAGUAAGUGGCCAACCUGAGGUUUAAUCCUCAGUCUCCUAACUCCACAUCCAGAGCUCUUAUUAGCUUAUCCCACUUGUGUAGAAGGUCGUGGCAGCCAAGCCACUGAGUGUCCAGACUUUAGUCAUAUUCUGGCAAGAGGCCUGUGUUUUAUUAAAUGUCUGUUGACGAACGAAUACAAAAAUCUGUUGUCUCUUUUUAUGUUUCAGGACUCUGCUCAUUACUCUGAACCUCCGCUGUCUUCUUUCAUAGCCCGUUGGCUCAUGGUUGAUCUUCUCCACUGCUGUGGGCUCUGUCUGUCCCAAGCAGAUACGAAGGAAAGGUCUUUCUUCUGUUGCCACUAACCGACAUGGCGUCUCAUUGCUAGCACACCUGGAGAAUGGGCAAAGAAGGAGAGGGGGAAGGACUGUCUACCCACCUAUUUUAUCUCUUCCCCUGUCCCCAUUCAAAAGCCCUCUUUGCUACUCUCAGGCCAUGUUGGGGAGGGAGACCUCGAGAGAAACCAAAGCUUUCGCCUGUGUCUGCUUCCUCAUUUGUUACCUGAAGAUCAUAUUGAUUUCUUGAGGUCUUCCCAAUCUCUCCUCUUUUUUCCCCUUAUAAAUCUACUUGCCCUGGGGCCUGAUUAGACUUUUAAAAACAAUUGCUUGAGGUCAGGGGUUUGAGACCAGCCUGAGUAAGAGCGAGACCCCCGUUUCU
Non-coding RNA from Microcebus murinus (gray mouse lemur), 6559 nucleotides. The record is from RefSeq and is a predicted model, not a curated record. Lineage: Eukaryota; Metazoa; Chordata; Mammalia; Primates; Cheirogaleidae.